Wyeomyia smithii (pitcher-plant mosquito) is the source of this 3374-nucleotide long non-coding RNA. RefSeq lists it as uncharacterized. NCBI's taxonomy places the organism in Eukaryota, Metazoa, Arthropoda, Insecta, Diptera, Culicidae. The transcript has 5 exons. The record is from RefSeq and is a predicted model, not a curated record.
AUUUUGCCGACUAAAAUACCGUAAAUUUUCUUCGAGUGCAAGCUCUACGAAUUGCAUGCACUCACAUCGCUACCAAAUCGAAGCGAGUAUAAUGACCAGUCUCUCGCUAGAAGUCUCUAAACACAACAUGAAUCCCGCUUGCCCGCUCUCGCUCUGCAACGAUAAUCCUCGGGAACAAAGCUUGGCUCAGACAAUUGCACGGUACAGUCAUAGAGUGAAGGUGGUUUAUGGUCGUCCUUAAGAAGCCGAUCUGAAGUGCUCGAAAUAGAAGGUUUGUCGCAUCGCAUAUCACGAUUUGGCAGGUUACACCAAUAGCCCGCAAACAAAAGGGACCACCCGAUCUGUUCUCGGAUAACCGCAUGCAACGCGAGCACGUUUGACUUCAUUCCAAUCAAUACACCAAGUUCCCUAUGAGCUAUCGCAAGACUUGCACGUAACAUCCGUAUAGUUUGGAGAGAUAGAUUUGCUACGAGAGUUGCGAAUUCCAAGAAACAAGAGUUAUACGGCAUAAGCUAGUGAUCUCCGACGACAGAUUAAGCCACAACGAGACUCGGCUGCGUUGGAUUUAAGUAUCGAAAGAGUAAACACAAGACACCCAAAGGCCUUCGAAAGAGGGCCUUUAAUUUACAGGCUUGGGUGCUUCGGUCGUGCCACAGCAACGAGACUCUCUGAGCGUAGUGAUAGUAUCUAGGGACUGCAAAGGCAAGACCGAUUGAGCCGAAUUUACUGCAUUUCGUUCCCGCCAACCAUACGUGCGAUAGCGAGACCGCAAGGACACGAAGGAGCCGACUACACGAUCGUCGCAAUGCUUGCCGAUUAGGCAAGACAGAAAGGGAUCUAGCGCAACGGUGGCAGCGUGUGGAGUACAGUAAAGUCAACAUCAAGGGGCCCCCACCGAUAUGAAUAAGUUAAAGAUGUGAACUUUGUAAAGGGUGGCAAAAUGUAUGUAUGCCAAUAGAGUUAAGUUAGCAAUGUAACUUGAUUUUCUUAUGUUAAGCUGCACUCCCUUAUCGCAUUGUUUUGUGAGUCAUAUCGUUUUAAUUCAGUUGAGUUCGUUAAUUCCUCCUAGUUCCCUUACCGAAAUCUACUAUUGUAUCCUGGCACGGAAUAGCCCCUGCGUAGUUGGACAGAUUGCCAGAGGGCCAACUGAUUUUAAUGUAACGUUAGAUAGAGAGAGCAACAAUGAUAAGGAGUACCAUGAUAUUUUUCCGAGUGGAUAUGCUUUAGUUCACCCAACGGCAUACAGAUGGCAAGUUCAUAGACCUUUUUACGUACGAAUGUAUUAGUGCACCUAGUUGAGGAAAGUAUUUACAAAUCGCCUUUUUGUUUGCUAUGCUAUGUUUUUGGCAGCUUGACAAAUAUUCAGUUGAAUACUUAUUAUAAGCUCAAAAAUCGUUUCUGAAUGAAUUUUUAAUUCGUGAUCAUGAAUCGGGGGAAGCUGCCUGGUUUACGUGUUAUGACAGGGAUGCCAGACGUGAAGACAUGUCUUAAUAUUGAAAACAUUCGAGCGCAUGUGAAUAAGUGGAAGCCUAAUAGAGAUAAGUGACUUUUCACCUACGCACACUAAUGAACGUGUAAACUCAUGUAAAGUUGCUUUUGUUUCCUCCAAACUGUAAAUCAUCGCAUCUCGUUGCUCCGACUUUUUAUCACUUUUUACCAUUUUUGGUCGAUAAUGUUCAGCAGCUUCCCCCGAUUCAUGAUCACGAAUGAAAAAUUCAUUCAGAAACGAGUUUAGAACUUAUAAUAAGUAUUCAACUGAAUAUUUGUCCAGCUGCCAAAAACAUAGCAUAGCAAACAAAAAGGCGAUUUGUAAAUACUUUCCUCAACUAGGUGCACUAAUACAUUCGUACGUAAAAAGGUCUAUAGUCGAUUGAUUAACCGCACUCGAUUUAAUGUGUCACUGGAAGUUUUGUAAACAUUCAACGGGGACCGUGUUUACAGAUUUCCUAUGUAUAAAAACAUUGUUUUGUGGAGUGAGAAGAUUUUUGAAAAAUGACCUGGCCUCCCUGUGUUAUGAUUUCUUGACGGUAGGGUAUGUCUUGAAACCACUUACAGUUGUUAAAAUUCUAAAUCGAUUUUUUCAAUAGUUUUGCUGUUUAAAUUGAGAAAAAGUCAGAAGAUUAUGUAUUUCUUUUGAAAUUUCUUAUCAAAAGAAAAAAUAAUAUACAUACCCCUAAAACACCCUAUAGAGAUAAGUGACUUUUCACCUACGCACACUAAUGAACGUGUAAACUCAUGUAAAGUUGCUUUUGUUUCCUCCAAACUGUAAAUCAUCGCAUCUCGUUGCUCCGACUUUUUAUCACUUUUUACCAUUUUUGGUCGAUAAUGUUCAGCAGCUUCCCCCGAUUCAUGAUCGCGAAUGAAAAAUUCAUUCAGAAACGAGUUUAGAACUUAUAAUAAGUAUUCAACUGAAUAUUUGUCCAGCUGCCAAAAACAUAGCAUAGCAAACAAAAAGGCGAUUUGUAAAUACUUUCCUCAACUAGGUGUACUAAUACAUUCGUACGUAAAAAGGUCUAUAGACCAUUUUACGAACUGACAGGUGUCACGGAUUUUGCUGAUUUUGAUGAUGCUUUUAUGUGCGUUAUGUCAGCGGUUUCGUGCUUUCUGUCAAAAUUUCAUUCAUGAAUUCAGUUCAGAAACGUCUUGUAAAAUGGUCUAUUGCAUAUGAGAGUUCGCGUUGGUGCGAGCCAACUCGCUGACAUUGUUCAGACUACGCCGGAUAUCACCUGAUGUCGCCAGUUGAUAUCGGAUAUCACCUCGAGCGUUCACAUUAGAGUGAGCUGAUAUGAUUUGACAUUUGCUUUGGUAAUUGAAAAAAAAAGAAAACAAAAACUGGUCAAAGCUAAAACAAGACAACAAGAGCACUUUUCAACGGCCUUGUGUACCGAAAUGUCCGGUGUGGACACAGACGUAUUCGCAUCCGUCUCUGCCUUUUUCUGCGGAGACCGCUGGAUGCCUUUACGAGCAAAGGCCGCUAUCAUUGCCCAUAAUAUAGUAGUCGCCUAUGAGGUCCCAUGGUGGUCUUAGCCGGAGCAGUAUGGCGCCACCGACCGUUUAACGAUGGUAGACAAAACUAAAAAUACAAGAAAAACAAGGUUUUUUGACACCGAAAAACAUUUUCGUAUUUGUUUUAUUAUCCACCAUGUUAUGCGUUAUGUGUCGUUUGUCCAUUCACAGCAAAUCUAUAGAUAAUAUAGAUAUUCAUAGAACAUUUAUUCCAAGUGGUGUAGGAAAAGAAAAACCUGCCACCGGAUUUCAGGUUUUCCAGCGACGAUGAAAUAUCAUGUUUUGACCUGUCUAUUGCACUAGAUUUAGUUAUCUAUUUUUUUCUUCCGCCCUCUCUGUUAUAUUUUGCUUUUGGAAACAAUUCAUCA